Molecule: ribosomal RNA, 492 nt
Filed under: uncultured bacterium
Lineage: Bacteria
Description: partial 16S ribosomal RNA
Rfam family: Bacterial small subunit ribosomal RNA
Source: RNAcentral
AGUGAACGCUGGCGGUAGGCCUAACACAUGCAAGUCGAACGGCAGCACAGUAAGAGCUUGCUCUUACGGGUGGCGAGUGGCGGACGGGUGAGGAAUACAUCGGAAUCUACUUUUUCGUGGGGGAUAACGUAGGGAAACUUACUCUAAUACCGCAUACGACCUACGGGUGAAAGCAGGGGAUCUUCGGACCUUGCGCGAUUGAAUGAGCCGAUGUCGGAUUAGCUAGUUGGCGGGGUAAAGGCCCACCAAGGCGACGAUCGGUAGCUGGUCUGAGAGGAUGAUCAGCCACACUGGAACUGAGACACGGUCAAGACUCCUACGGGAGGCAGCAGUAGGGAAUCUGCCGCAAUGGGCGAAAGCCUGACGGAGCAACGCCGCGUGAGUGAUGAAGAUCUUCGGAUCGUAAAACUCUGUUAUUAGGGAAGAACAAAUGUGUAAGUAACUAUGCACGUCUUGACGGUACCUAAUCAGAAAGCCACGGCUAACUACGUG